Molecule: ribosomal RNA, 653 nt
Filed under: Salmonella enterica subsp. enterica serovar Enteritidis str. P125109
Lineage: Bacteria; Pseudomonadati; Pseudomonadota; Gammaproteobacteria; Enterobacterales; Enterobacteriaceae
Description: partial 23S ribosomal RNA
Rfam family: Bacterial large subunit ribosomal RNA
Source: RNAcentral
GACCUGGAAAGGUCGGCCGAAGAAGGUGACAGCCCUGUAGCUGAAACUGUUUUCCCUCCAGAGUGGAUCCUGAGUACGGCGGGACACGUGAAACCCCGUCGGAAUCCGGGAGGACCAUCUCCCAAGGCUAAAUACUCCCUAGUGACCGAUAGUGAACCAGUACCGUGAGGGAAAGGUGAAAAGCACCCCGGAAGGGGAGUGAAAUAGAUCCUGAAACCGUAUGCCUACAAGUAGUCAGAGCCCGUUAACGGGUGAUGGCGUGCCUUUUGUAGAAUGAACCGGCGAGUUACGAUAACGCGCGAGGUUAAGCCGAUGAGGCGGAGCCGUAGCGAAAGCGAGUCUGAACAGGGCGUUCAGUGCGUUGUCGUAGACCCGAAACCAGGUGAUCUACCCAUGUCCAGGAUGAAGGUCAGGUAACACUGACUGGAGGUCCGAACCCACGCACGUUGAAAAGUGCGGGGAUGAGGUGUGGGUAGCGGUGAAAUGCCAAUCGAACCUGGAGAUAGCUGGUUCUCCCCGAAAUAGCUUUAGGGCUAGCCUCGAGGUUGAGAGUUCUGGAGGUAGAGCACUGAUUGGACUAGGGGCCCCCACAGGGUUACCGAAUUCAGUUAAACUCCGAAUGCCAGCAACUUAUACUCGGGAGUCAGACUGCG